This 1825-nucleotide long non-coding RNA is filed under the name Gossypium barbadense (sea-island cotton). Its description in RNAcentral is "long non-coding RNA (GBAR_LNC010988)". Lineage: Eukaryota; Viridiplantae; Streptophyta; Magnoliopsida; Malvales; Malvaceae. The record is from RNAcentral.
GGAUUCCGCCCGUUUUCGUCAAUCAAAUUAUUCAUCGUACAUAAUCUUUAGGGUAUCUACAUAUCUUUCUCUCUUUUUUUUCCUCUAAAAUUUAUAAAACUUAUAUGAGUUUAUUACUUAUAGACAUAUAUAUAUGCCUUGGAGUUUCUUUUCCGCAAUAUUUUUGUAUUGAUCUUAUAAUACCAUAUAUUCCUCAACCAUAAAAUAAACAUAAAUGAUAUAUAUAUAUAUUAAUUAAGCUUAAUUAUUUAAUUUGUUUAUUCUAUGUAGAGGUGUUGAUGGGUGAAGUCAGAUUAGAUUUGAGUUGGGUUUAAGUAUAAUAUUAAUACAUUUUAUAUUUGUUCAAGCCUGACUUGAUCUAAAACAUGAACCUAAAAUUUUUCUCAAGCCUCUCCAUAUUUGUCAAUAACUAACUCAAACCCAAUUUGAGUCCCCAUGUUAUUAAAAUGUUUUUUAUUUAAUAUUUAAUAAAUUUUUUCAUUUAUUAAAAUGUUAUAUACAAGCAACUUAACAUUUUAUUAAUGUUUAAACUAUAGUAUUAUACAUUACUAUAAAUGUAUUUUUUAUAUGUUACAAAUAAUAUAAUAUAUUAAAAUAACAUAAUAUGAUAUAUUACAAACUUAAAAAACGGGAUGAACUGAGUUCAGGUUCAAAUAUUCAAGGCUCAAGCUAACCUAAGCCCAACUUAUAUUUUAAAUUGAUAUAAUUUUUCACCCAAACUUAUUUUAUAGACUUGUAUUUUUACCCAAAUCUUUAAAUACUUUAAGCCAAAAUUUGAGCUUGGACAUAUAAUCCGACUUUUGAAUAGGUAUAACUCUAUACUAUGUUUCAGAUUUAUCACACAUUUAUGUCUAAUACUUAUAUCGAACGCAUAUUUAAACAUAAUAGUCUAAAAAUAUAAAAUCACAUAUCAUACCGGCAUACUCACCUUGUCUUCAAAUGCAUACUGUAACAGGCCCAUUUUGCCCGGGCUUACACAAAAAACCAAAAAAAAAAAAUCAAAAUAAAUAAAUAAAUAACCAAAAUAAAGUCCAAAUUAACAGUCCAUUAAACAAGUCCAAAUACAAGGCCCAAAUAAACCCUAACCUAAAUUGGCCCAAAAUCUAACCCUAGCCACAUCCUUGCACCGCAGCCUUCACGAGCAGCCUCGCCACAUCGCACGUGCUCCUCCGUUCCUCCGUACACCCCCACGAACGGCCUCGCCAUGUCAGCAGCACCAUGACCUUCGUACCUGCAACGGACUAACAACAACAAUAGUAAGUAGCAGAUAACAGCAAAUGACAGCAAGAAAAUAGAGGUUUUUAUUUUUCUUUUAUUUAUGCUGUAAAAUUCGGCUAUAAAAAGCCAUCAUUUGUACUGUAAAAGGGAUCGAGGAUACGCAUACGAAAAUCGAUACCAAAAGUUUGAAUAAAAAAUAGUUUUUAGGAGGUAAUUGAAAAUCUCAUUUUUCUUUUCAUUUUGCUUUUAUCUAUUUGAUUUUGUUAUUAUAUAAGUAUAAAAACAAAAAUAAAGGAGAGGGAGGAUACCUAUCUUGAUAAAAGCCCUCAAAUCCUUGUUUGCUUUGAAGAAAUCAAAGCUUAAAUAAGGAUUGUGAGAGCUAGGAAUGAAAAAACUUUCAGAUUCAUGGUCGAACAGGGUCGAUUAGGCCUUCGCGCGACGAUCGUCUGCCGAAAACGGAGGCAAAACGGCAGUUGAAGGAUGCCUUAGGUUCGGCCGAAUAAAUAAGGGAAUAAGAUUUAGGUUUUUUUUUUAUUAUUAUUUGCUUUCAAGUGGCUAAAUGCUUGAUUUUAGGGUUUUUAGGCUUGGUUUUGUACAGAGUAAAAAA